CCUACGGGGUGCUGCAGUGAGGAAUAUUGGUCAAUGGACGAGAGUCUGAACCAGCCAAGUAGCGUGAAGGAUGACUGCCCUAUGGGUUGUAAACUUCUUUUAUAUGGGAAUAAAAUGUUCCACGUGUGGGAUUUUGUAUGUACCAUAUGAAUAAGGAUCGGCUAACUCCGUGCCAGCAGCCGAGGUAAUACGGAGGAUCCGAGCGUUAUCCGGAUUUAUUGGGUUUAAGGGGAGCGUAGGUGGAUUGUUAAGUCAGUUGUGAAAGUUUGCGGCUCAACCGUAAAAUUGCAGUUGAAACUGGCAGUCUUGAGUACAGUAGAGGUGGGCGGAAUUCGUGGUGUAGCGGUGAAAUGCUUAGAUAUCACGAAGAACUCCGAUUGCGAAGGCAGUUCACUGGACUGCAACUGACACUGAGGCUCGAAAGUGUGGGUAUCAAACAGGAUUAGAUACCCCUGUAGUC
RNAcentral lists this ribosomal RNA (460 nucleotides) under uncultured bacterium. RNAcentral describes it as "partial 16S ribosomal RNA". It matches the Rfam family "Bacterial small subunit ribosomal RNA", at positions 338 to 795 of the family's 1533-position model. The record is from RNAcentral.